CCUACGGGGGGCAGCAGUGGGGAAUAUUGGACAAUGGGGGCAACCCUGAUCCAGCCAUGCCGCGUGUGUGAAGAAGGCCCUCGGGUUGUAAAGCACUUUCAGUGAGGAAGAACGCCUGGUGGUUAAUACCCAUCAGGAAAGACAUCACUCACAGAAGAAGCACCGGCUAACCCCGUGCCAGCAGCCGCGGUAAUACGGAGGGUGCGAGCGUUAAUCGGAAUUACUGGGCGUAAAGCGCGCGUAGGUGGCUUGAUAAGCCGGUUGUGAAAGCCCCGGGCUCAACCUGGGAACGGCAUCCGGAACUGUCAAGCUAGAGUGCAGGAGAGGAAGGUAGAAUUCCCGGUGUAGCGGUGAAAUGCGUAGAGAUCGGGAGGAAUACCAGUGGCGAAGGCGGCCUUCUGGACUGACACUGACACUGAGGUGCGAAAGCGUGGGUAGCAAACAGGAUUAGAUACCCCUGUAGUC
Molecule: ribosomal RNA, 465 nt
Filed under: Vreelandella stevensii
Lineage: Bacteria; Pseudomonadati; Pseudomonadota; Gammaproteobacteria; Oceanospirillales; Halomonadaceae
Description: partial 16S ribosomal RNA
Rfam family: Bacterial small subunit ribosomal RNA
Source: RNAcentral